GAUGAAGAACGUAGCGAAAUGCGAUAAGUAAUGUGAAUUGCAGAUUUCAGUGAAUCAUCGAAUCUUUGAACGCACAUUGCGCCCCUUGGUAUUCCAUGGGGCAUGCCUGUUCGAGCGUCAUUUGUACCUUCAAGCUUUGCUUGGUGUUGGGUGUUUGUCCAUUCUCUUGCAGAGGGACUCGCCUUAAAGUAAUUGGCAGCCAGUGUUUUGGUUUUGAAGCGCAGCACAAGUCGCGAUUCAAAGCUAUACGCCCGCUUCCACAAGCCUUUUUCACUUUUGACCUCGGAUCAGGUAGGGAUACCCGCUGAACUUAAGCAUAUCAAUAAGCGGAGGA
This 334-nucleotide unclassified non-coding RNA is filed under the name soil metagenome. RNAcentral's name for it is "partial contains 5.8S ribosomal RNA, internal transcribed spacer 2, and large subunit ribosomal RNA". The stretch from base 1 to 120 matches the Rfam family "5.8S ribosomal RNA", at positions 35 to 154 of the family's 154-position model. The record is from RNAcentral.